Molecule: long non-coding RNA, 322 nt
Organism: Nothoprocta perdicaria
Lineage: Eukaryota; Metazoa; Chordata; Aves; Tinamiformes; Tinamidae
Exons: 4
Source: RefSeq, a predicted model, not a curated record
UGUUCGUCAGGAGCUGAUUGUGGUGAUCUUCAAGGAUGCCUGCAGAUGAGUUGGACUCUCUGGAUCUCAUUUGCUGGUAGUGGAAAUAUGACAGUGAAUAAGAAAUUUGUGGUAGAGCAGCUGUGACUGAAUCCCAUUACUUCAGGGAUUUUGCCCUGUGGUGUAUCUAUUUCUCAUGACUCCCCAAGAAGACGUGCGGAGCAUUUCUGGACUGAAGGCAUCUUCAAAGAUGCGUUCUGAGAGAGGAUUUCUUUCAGACAGACACGAAGCAAUACAGGCAUGCCUGACAGAAAGCAUCUUAAGGAGGACAAAAAAUAAAAUU